CACGUGGCACCUUUGCAUGAAUUACGACCAGGCACCUCAUCCUCCUGGCAGGGCUCACGGCCGACAGGCUAAGCAGGGGCUAGACUGUAGGGGCUCCCCCGGGGAGGCCACAGCCAGUGCUCCAGGGGCCACGGGACCAGCCAGGGGUAGAACUGAGGGGGGCUGCGUGGAGCCCAGGAGAGCCAGAAAGAAAGAUCCGGAGGUGAAGCCUCGGCUGCUUUAAGCCGUGGCAAAGACUUCAAAAUAUCCAAAAGGCCUGUGUGGGAUGCCCUCACACCUCGGUGGGCCACCGGAUGGAGGUUCCGGUCAUCCUGUUCCUGCAGGAGUCACAAGUGAGAACACGAGGCCGUGACCGCCUGGCCCGAAAGCAGCUGUGGGCAGCACUGACCUGAGCACCCACUGUGUGCCGGCCCCUCCUCUAAGCACCCUGCCCAGAGUCCCUCAUGUAAUCUGCACACGUGACCCACGAGGAAGCAGCCACUACGCGUUACAGACAAGGGAAAACGAGGCACGGGGAGGGCACGGUCCACUUGCCCAGGUCACACAGCUUGGCAGCACAGUGGGGGACACGAGGCUCCAGGCCUGUUAACCCGAAGCCCGUGCCCAGCCAGUUCUCGGAAAUAAAGGCGGAUGCCCCCUCGGAGGUCCGUGCGUGCCAGGCUCUGCUCGGCGCCCUCUGCCCCCAGUCCCAUUCCGCCCUCACAACCGACUGGCCCCAAUUCACACAUGGGGAGCCUGAGGCCCGGAGAGAGGAAGUCCCUUGUCCAGGGCAUCCGGGAUUUGAACUCGGGCAGGCGGGCACCAAAGUCCAGGCUCUUCCCUGCCUGGCCUGCCCGGAGGGCCACAGGGACGCCCUUGUUUCCGUCAUCAUCGUCAUCACCAGGGUGCCUUUCUCCCUCCCACUCAAGCCUCCAGUCCACACCCACACCCUGCCCUUCAGGUCCUGCCCUGACCCUUCCUGGGGCUGAGGGUCCCCUACCCCCUGUCUGACCCGUCCCAGGCCCCCAAGGGUAGAGUGGGGUUCCUGCCCCUGCCUCCCAUCCUUAUCUGCCUUUACCGCAGCCUUCGGCAGGACAAUCUGAAGCAGAAAAGAUGUCCACAAACCAGUCCCUGCCACCAAAUGUGCCACACUGAGGCUCAGCCCUGGGACUUCCAUCACUACCACCACCACGAGGGCCCCCGUGACCCUGUGCAGAUGCGGACACGGAGCUCACGGACCCCCUAUGACCUCGGUGGGGCAGCUAUUCUCAUUCCCACUUCGCAGAUGUGGAAACUGAGGAUCACAAAGGUGAAAUCUCUUGCUUAGGUUACCAGGCAGAGCUGGGCCUAGAAGACGGGAUCUACUACAGGGCCAACCUCCUUAAGCCUUCUGCUGGCCCCCAAGCCUCCUCCGUGUGGCCCCAUGGCCUGUACGAUCGGCCUGUCACCUCUGCCCCCUCGUUCACUCUGCCCCAGCCACAUGGGCCUCCUUGCUGUUCUUCAAACCCUAGACGUGUCCCCACCUCAGGGCCUUUGCACUGGCUGUCACCUCACCUGCUGGAACUUCAUUCUCCCUGAUCUGCACAUGGCUCCCUCCCUCCUCCCCGCUACCCGAGUCUGUGCUCAAAUAUCCCUGCUCCUGUCCCGGCUCCCUCUAUGCCUUUUUCUUUGCCCCUGUCUUCUGUCUUGCUCCCCAGUGUACCCCGUCUACAACAUGGCCCCAGCCCACACUAGGCGCUCAAGGAACCUGUGGUGAAUGAACUGAUUCAUCUGUACCCACUACGCUACAGCCCUGCUUGGACACCUCUGACUCUGCCCGGGCGGUCCCUGGGGCACUCUGGCGGAGAUGUGCCUGGGACCCAGGGGCGGCGGGUGAAGCAGCAACGUCAGACAGAGGGAAUAGAGGAGGACAGCAUGCAGAUGCCUCUGAAGUCUAGGGUCUGAUCCCAAGAACGCAGGCCCAUUUUGCAUUCUACUCUCGUACGGUCAUUGCAAUUAAAGAAAGUCUUUUGAAUUA
Acinonyx jubatus (cheetah) is the source of this 1996-nucleotide long non-coding RNA. RefSeq lists it as uncharacterized. The transcript has 2 exons. The record is from RefSeq and is a predicted model, not a curated record. Lineage: Eukaryota; Metazoa; Chordata; Mammalia; Carnivora; Felidae.